GGAUUGUGGCUCAGUGGUAGAACACUUGCCUCGAAUGUGUGAGGUGCUGGGUUCGAUUCUCAGCACCA
This 68-nucleotide transfer RNA is filed under the name Marmota monax (woodchuck). RNAcentral's name for it is "tRNA.Ser". Lineage: Eukaryota; Metazoa; Chordata; Mammalia; Rodentia; Sciuridae. The record is from RNAcentral.